GAAGGUUUCAACUCUGACAUGGAACUGACUAAUUGACUUUCUGAUCCACGAUGCUGUGGAAAGAAGGGGCGACGAGAUAAUCCUGGAGAGAGGAAGGAAGGCCUUUGGCAGCUGAAAGGUUUUCCUGAUUUACUCAGACGUUGAAGAAAGAGAGCAAAGGCAAUCUGCCAAUGUGGGCAGAGAGUGCAUAAGCGACUGGAGGAAUACCGUGCUGAAGGAGAUCCCAGCAGAGCAUGGAGAAAGGAGAGCACCCCAGGAGAGAGUAUGUCCUACACGGCAGCACUCCAGGAGUCCUUCGUGGAUAGGCACCCCUUCCAGACCUUGCAGAUGAAUGUUCCCUCCUCCCCAGGUUCCGUGGCCUGGACUCCCAGGAGCCCUAGAAUGCAUUUGUGUGAGAAGGACAGCCUCACACUCCAUCCCCAAGGAUGUACCGUGGACCAAAAGGCUGUCCUCCCUCCCUGAAGUUCCCCCCUGGAUUCCUGUUCUGUCACUGCUCUGUGUUUCUUUAAUAA
Non-coding RNA from Pelodiscus sinensis (Chinese soft-shelled turtle), 512 nucleotides. NCBI's taxonomy places the organism in Eukaryota, Metazoa, Chordata, Testudines, Trionychidae. The record is from RefSeq and is a predicted model, not a curated record.